RNAcentral lists this unclassified non-coding RNA (431 nucleotides) under soil metagenome. RNAcentral's name for it is "partial contains 5.8S ribosomal RNA, internal transcribed spacer 2, and large subunit ribosomal RNA". The stretch from base 1 to 120 matches the Rfam family "5.8S ribosomal RNA", at positions 35 to 154 of the family's 154-position model. The record is from RNAcentral.
GAUGAAGAACGUAGCGAAAUGCGAUACGUAAUGUGAAUUGCAGAAUUCAGUGAAUCAUCGAAUCUUUGAACGCAUAUUGCGCUCUCUGGUAUUCCGGAGAGCAUGCUUGUUUGAGUAUCAGUAAACACCUCAACUUCCAUAUCUUUUUUGAAAUGGGAGUUGGACUUGAGUGAUCCCAACGCUUUUCCUCACCGAAAAGUGGCGGGUUACUUGAAAUGCAGGUGCAGCUGGACAUUCUCCUGAGCUAAAAGCAUAUUUAUUUAGUCCCGUCAAACGGAUUAUUACUUUUGCUGCAGCUAAUAUAAAGGGAGUUUGACCGUAUUGGCUGACUGAUGCAGGAUUUCACAAAGGUCGGCAACGAUCCUUGUAAAACUCGAUCUCAAAUCAAGUAAGACUACCCGCUGAACUUAAGCAUAUCAAUAAGCGGAGGA